GAUGAACGCUGGCGGCGUGCCUAAUACAUGCAAGUCGAGCGAACGGACGAGAAGCUUGCUUCUCUGAUGUUAGCGGCGGACGGGUGAGUAACACGUGGAUAACCUACCUAUAAGACUGGGAUAACUUCGGGAAACCGGAGCUAAUACCGGAUAAUAUUUUGAACCGCAUGGUUCAAAAGUGAAAGACGGUCUUGCUGUCACUUAUAGAUGGAUCCGCGCUGCAUUAGCUAGUUGGUAAGGUAACGGCUUACCAAGGCAACGAUGCAUAGCCGACCUGAGAGGGUGAUCGGCCACACUGGAACUGAGACACGGUCCAGACCCCUACGGGAGGCAGCAGUAGGGAAUCUUCCGCAAUGGGCGAAAGCCCGACGGAGCAACGCCGCGUGAGUGAUGAAGGUCUUCGGAUCGUAAAACUCUGUUAUUAGGGAAGAACAUAUGUGUAAGUAACUGUGCACAUCUUGACGGUACCUAAUCAGAAAGCCACGGCUAACUACGUG
RNAcentral lists this ribosomal RNA (497 nucleotides) under uncultured bacterium. RNAcentral's name for it is "partial 16S ribosomal RNA". It matches the Rfam family "Bacterial small subunit ribosomal RNA", at positions 28 to 507 of the family's 1533-position model. The record is from RNAcentral.